UACGUAGGGGGCAAGCGUUGUCCGGAAUCAUUGGGCGUAAAGAGCGUGUAGGCGGCUCGGUAAGUCCGCUCUGAAAGCCCGGGGCUCAACCCCGGGAGGCGGGCGGAUACUGUCGAGCUAGAGUCCGGAAGAGGCGAGUGGAAUUCCUGGUGUAGCGGUGAAAUGCGCAGAUAUCAGGAGGAACACCAAUGGCGAAGGCAGCUCGCUGGGACGGUACUGACGCUGAGACGCGAAAGCGUGGGGAGCGAACAGG
Molecule: ribosomal RNA, 253 nt
Filed under: uncultured bacterium
Lineage: Bacteria
Description: partial 16S ribosomal RNA
Rfam family: Bacterial small subunit ribosomal RNA
Source: RNAcentral